AUGCUGAGUUUAAAGCCAACAAUUGUUGUUUUUUGGAUCUAUUAUUGUUUGAUACAAGUCUCAGGAACGGAUAUCAAAAACAUUACCUGUCAUGACAUAAAGACCAACAAUGGAUACAAGUAUACACAUAACUGUGUUGACAAAGAGAUAUCUGUCAUCAAUUUAGCGGACAAUAUAGUCAUUGCUAAUAUUGACAGAAAUGAGCAACAGAAGUUGGACUAUGUAAAAGAAAUUAACGAAACACACAUUAUAUUGAAGACGUGCCUCUCAAUCAAAGUGGAAUGCUCGAGUAAUGGCGUCAGCGGAUAUACGUCAAAGACAACCAUUUUUCGGGUGUCUAAAACUAAAGAAAGGGAGGGCAAUUCUACGAGCACAGAUGUGUUACCAUGGAUCAUUGGCAUUUUAGUUACAAUCCUGAUCAUCAUACUUUCCAUGUGUUGCAUCUGUUGCAUCUAUUGUUGGUGGAAAAAAUCAAAGAAGCAGAAUUUGCCGCUAACCUUUAGUGGUUUUAUGACGUAUCUACGAACUGGCUUUUGCUUCCGAACACGUUCUUUGCCUGAGAGUGGAAGCAACCAUUCGCUGGGAUCUUACUCUAGGCGUGAAGUCCAAGGGGUCUCAGCAGAUUUGGAAGAAACUGGACAGAAUGGAGGGAUCAGAACUCCACGUGAACAUGGUGAAAAUGAUCCGGAGCACGUUAACAGACCCGAAAGUGUGCAAAUUCACAGAUCUUACUCUGGGUGUGAAGUCCAAGUGGUCUCAGCAGAUUUGGAAGAAACUGGACAGAAUGGAGAGAUCGGAUCUUACUCUGGGCGUGAAGUCCAAGUGGUCUCAGCAGAUUUGGAAGAAACUGGACAGAAUGGAGAGAUCAGUAUUGAUUUCCAGUCUGAUGGCAACACAGCUCGACCCCGUUGUCUGGAGUCCAGCUUAAGCAAUAAGCACAUGCUGCCAACUGAAAAGGACUUGGACUUGGAUGAUGAGGAAGAGCAACAGGCUGAAAGGCGAUUGCUGCUGUCGGAUCAGGGAGGUGCCAUAUCAUGUGGAACGAUGGCAUUGGUCUCCAACCCUCCCUCUGAUACUGAUGUGCCCAAACGGGCAUCCACAGCAGCCGUAAGACUCAGAUUUGAAUCAUUUCAUCUUUUUUACACAUUAUCGCUGUUUUUUUUGUUUGUUUGUUGUUUUUUUAACGUAUUGACCCUCCUUCCUUUUCCUUUUAUUCCAGGCUUGACGUGGAGGCAACACACUACAUACAGUACCUACAAGUUAUAUAUUAUAUAGAUACAUACAAUGAAUAACAGAUUAUAUAUAGCAUAUAAAUAUUAUUAUAAAUAUUUACAUGAAUACAUGUAAAACAUUAUAUCAUUAAUAAAUAAGCUGUAUGUGGGGUUUUAGAUGACA
Long non-coding RNA from Gouania willdenowi (blunt-snouted clingfish), 1395 nucleotides. Ensembl lists it as uncharacterized. NCBI's taxonomy places the organism in Eukaryota, Metazoa, Chordata, Actinopteri, Blenniiformes, Gobiesocidae. The record is from Ensembl.